GACGAACGCUGGCGGCGUGCCUAAUACAUGCAAGUCGAACGCAGUGGGAACGUGUGAGUAACACGUGGGUAACCUCCCAUCAGAGGGGAUAACACUUAGAAACAGGUGCUCAACCCAUAUUGAUUGAUGGACCCGCGGGGCAUUAGCUAGUUGGUGAGGUAACGGAUCACCAAGGCAACGAUGCAUAGCCGACCUGGGAGGGUGAGCGGCCAACCUGGGACUGAGCCACGGCCCAGACUCCUACGGGAGGCAGCAGUAGGGAAUCUUAGGCAAUGGACGAAAGCCUGAUCGAGAAAAGCCGCGUGAGUGAAGAAGGUUUUCGGAUAGUAAAACUCUUUUGUUAGAGAAGCGGUAUCUAACGAGAAAGCAACGGCUAACUCCGUGCCAGCAGCCGCGGUAAUAC
RNAcentral lists this ribosomal RNA (403 nucleotides) under uncultured bacterium. RNAcentral's name for it is "partial 16S ribosomal RNA". It matches the Rfam family "Bacterial small subunit ribosomal RNA", at positions 28 to 526 of the family's 1533-position model. The record is from RNAcentral.